AAAGUCUAAGCUUUGGCAUUUUGAAUGCAUGGUCAGAAGGUGGUCGUAGAGAAAUCGAUCCGAAGAGAGCCCACCUGUUACUGUAAUGGAAUGGAGCUGUUUUCCUAAAGCAAUGGACUGUAAUGGUACACAUCCUUAAGGAGGAGAGAGAAAGAAAUUCGGUUUUUUAGGAGAGAGAAAAUUGUUGGGUCGAACCCUGUUUCAGGUUGGAAUUUUGAGAGGGUCUCCUUAAGCUGACCUUCUGAACAGAGGGUGAUGAAAUCUGCUCUAAAUUUGGUGGGGUUUUUGGAAGAGGUAGAGAGAGAAUGGAGGAACUUUUAGAGGAUGGGUCCUGGUUGUGUUGAGGAUGCUGCAUUUAUACAUGGCUGGAUAUGCUUAUUGGGUUUUUGCUUUGGCAAUAACAUUUUUUGGCAACUAAAUCUCUUGUUUCUGUUUUGUGGUAGGAGGUGAGAGAAACUUGCCCGUUAACUAUAGGAGCUCAAGAACAUGGUGAUUUUGAAGGACCGGUUUUUUCCACAUUAGCCCCUCUUUCGCUACAGUUCUUAUGAAAUUACGUAGUUUCUCUCUCUCUCUCAAGUUUGGAAUCGAUUUAACCGGCCUGAUCAGUAAACUGGCCGAUUCAAUUGUUCUAACCAGGCAAGUCUUGGGUAGUCAAAAAAGUUUUGAACAAAAUAAAAAAAUACAAAAAAUUUUUACUAAAAUAUGAAAAAACAUAUAAAAAAUGAUUAAAACAAAACACAUUCAAAUUAAGUUGAAAUUAAUGAAAAAUAGACUUUAACUUAUUUUAUAUUUUUC
Molecule: long non-coding RNA, 795 nt
Filed under: Amborella trichopoda
Lineage: Eukaryota; Viridiplantae; Streptophyta; Magnoliopsida; Amborellales; Amborellaceae
Description: long non-coding RNA (ATRI_LNC004092)
Source: RNAcentral